RNAcentral lists this long non-coding RNA (641 nucleotides) under Cricetulus griseus (Chinese hamster). Its description in RNAcentral is "lncRNA (ENSCGRG00015035145.1)". The record is from RNAcentral. Lineage: Eukaryota; Metazoa; Chordata; Mammalia; Rodentia; Cricetidae.
CGCUGGGACCCUGCACACUUAAUUCUCCAGACUGAUGGCACAGAAAAGCUUCCAGAUUAGUCUCUUUGCUGGGUCCCUGGGAGACUACAAUCUUUUGUCUGCAGUACAAUGACUGCUGGGGUUGUCUGAUAGUCAAGGCCUGCUGCAAACUUGGAAAAGCACCCUUUCUUGGGAAAGAAGAGCCCACAGUGUGGACAUUCUCCUACCUGGUGACAAGCUGUGACUGUAGGAAAUUUGAGGAUGGUUUCAAAGAUAUGGGAUGAAGGAUGACUUUUGCUAAUACUGCACCAGAGCACACAAUCACACCAAGAAGUCUAUAAUCACUGUAAGAGAACAGGUUAACAAGGACUUUUAGGAAGCUUGAAGUCACAGACUGUGAUGGAGACCUACGUGUUCAAUCUAUUAAGAGCUUCUAACUAGCUGGCUUGUGUGGAAGAUCCAGUAAAGGAGUCUAGGGAUGAUUCUGGGGGAAGAGUGGAGCUUCAAGGUGAAGGAAGAACAACAUUAUGAGCAGAGAGAGACAGGGCACCAGUGAUGUAAGUUCUCAAGCCUUUCAAGAGCUCAAGGAUUACAGAAGAGACAGUCAAGUAAAGAAACAGAACAACAGUGGAGUAUAAUAAUGGCAGUGGAGUAUAAUGAAU